This 476-nucleotide ribosomal RNA is filed under the name Dictyocoela roeselum. Its description in RNAcentral is "partial small subunit ribosomal RNA". It matches the Rfam family "Microsporidia small subunit ribosomal RNA", at positions 355 to 827 of the family's 1311-position model. The record is from RNAcentral. Lineage: Eukaryota; Fungi; Microsporidia.
GUAAAGACCGUACUAAUAACUGGAGGUCAAGUCUGGUGCCAGCAUCCGCGGUAAUUCCAGCUCCAGGGGUGUCUAUGAUGAUUGCUGCGAUUAAAAAGUCCGUAGUCGAGCUGACUGACUGACCUGCAAUGUGGUUGAUUAAAAGACGAGCAGGGUUAGGAAAGCAGAGAAUUAGGAGCGACCGAGGGCUAGAGUAUUGAAUGGCGAGAGGUGAAAUUUGAUGACCCAUUCAGGAGUGACAAAGGCGAAGGCACUAGUCAAGGGCGAAUCCGAUGAUCAAGGACGUAGGCUAGAGUUUCGAAAACGAUUAGAGACCGGAGUAGUUCUAGCAGUAAACUAUGCCGACACCGUGGUAUUAAUUUUUUAGUAUUGCGGAAGAGAAAUCAAGUAAGGCUUUGGGGAGAGUACGCGCGCAAGCGAUAAAUUUAAAGGAAAUUGACGGAGGAACACCACAAGGAGUGGAGUGUGCGGCUUAA